Phyllostomus discolor (pale spear-nosed bat) is the source of this 220-nucleotide long non-coding RNA. RefSeq lists it as uncharacterized. The record is from RefSeq and is a predicted model, not a curated record. Lineage: Eukaryota; Metazoa; Chordata; Mammalia; Chiroptera; Phyllostomidae. The transcript has 3 exons.
AGAGCUGCCUCCUCAGACCACUACCAUCAUCAUGGGCAUUGUUGUUGACCUGGUCCUGCUUGGAGCUCUGGCGGCUGGAGCUGUGAUGUAGGGAAGGAGGUGCUCAGGUGGAAAGGAGGGAGCUAUGCUCAGGCUGCCAGCAGUGACAGUGCCCAGGGCUUUGAUGUGUCUCCUCUCAGAGCUUGUAAAGGUGAGAUGCUGACACUGGGAGGGGUUGGGG